Small nucleolar RNA from Humulus lupulus (European hop), 107 nucleotides. NCBI's taxonomy places the organism in Eukaryota, Viridiplantae, Streptophyta, Magnoliopsida, Rosales, Cannabaceae. The record is from RefSeq and is a predicted model, not a curated record.
AUGCCAUGGUGUGGACAUUUUCUCAAAAGCUCUUUAAAUCUUUCCCACGCAUCACUAGUGGACUCGUCUUCAAGCUACUGGAAAGACAUAAUUUCGCUUCUGAACUU